Long non-coding RNA from Girardinichthys multiradiatus, 579 nucleotides. RefSeq lists it as uncharacterized. The transcript has 4 exons. The record is from RefSeq and is a predicted model, not a curated record. Lineage: Eukaryota; Metazoa; Chordata; Actinopteri; Cyprinodontiformes; Goodeidae.
AACUGGCGCAGACGGCCGCCAUCUUGUCUUCUUCGUCUUCCUAACAGUUGAGCUUCGUCUGAACAGGCCUUUUUUGUUGCUUUUCUCUUGGAAUUAGCGUCCAGUAUAAUUCAGCAAACGAUGGACCUGCUGUUCCAUCCUGAGCAACUGAUCAGAGGCGGAUGCUAUUAACAUCUACGUCUAUGGACUCUAUACCUUCCCUGACCCUGUUCUCCACUGGAUCCAGAACCUGGAGGUGCUGGUCGAGCAGCUGCCUCUGAAGUCGGCUGCUGGUCUCCCUCUCCUCAGUCAGCUCCCUCUGGAGGUGGCGGUACUGCGCCUCCUUCCUGGUCGCCUCCUCCUCAGCCUCGUUCAGCUGACGCUUCAGGGUGCGGAGCCUCUGGGUCAUCUGCAGAACCAAACGCACAGAUCGGCUCAGUACUGGCAUUCUUUUCUUAAAAAUUUGGGUUAGAAACAGACCAACAGGAGAUGGAUGACGACCAGAUAAACGAACCAUCAGAGGUCCGAGCAGCAUCAGCAGAGUUCUUUGUGUUUGUCUUUAGAAUGUGGACUUCCUGUUCAGCUCACCUCUCCUCAGCU